This 2911-nucleotide ribosomal RNA is filed under the name Pseudomonas aeruginosa. Its description in RNAcentral is "23S ribosomal RNA". It matches the Rfam family "Bacterial large subunit ribosomal RNA". Lineage: Bacteria; Pseudomonadati; Pseudomonadota; Gammaproteobacteria; Pseudomonadales; Pseudomonadaceae. The record is from RNAcentral.
GUUAUAUGGUCAAGUGAAGAAGCGCAUACGGUGGAUGCCUUGGCAGUCAGAGGCGAUGAAAGACGUGGUAGCCUGCGAAAAGCUUCGGGGAGUCGGCAAACAGACUUUGAUCCGGAGAUCUCUGAAUGGGGGAACCCACCUAGGAUAACCUAGGUAUCUUGUACUGAAUCCAUAGGUGCAAGAGGCGAACCAGGGGAACUGAAACAUCUAAGUACCCUGAGGAAAAGAAAUCAACCGAGAUUCCCUUAGUAGUGGCGAGCGAACGGGGAUUAGCCCUUAAGCUUCAUUGAUUUUAGCGGAACGCUCUGGAAAGUGCGGCCAUAGUGGGUGAUAGCCCCGUACGCGAAAAGAUCUUUGAAGUGAAAUCGAGUAGGACGGAGCACGAGAAACUUUGUCUGAACAUGGGGGACCAUCCUCCAAGGCUAAAUACUACUGACUGACCGAUAGUGAACCAGUACCGUGAGGGAAAGGCGAAAAGAACCCCGGAGAGGGGAGUGAAAUAGAACCUGAAACCGUAUGCGUACAAGCAGUGGGAGCCUACUUGUUAGGUGACUGCGUACCUUUUGUAUAAUGGGUCAGCGACUUAUAUUCAGUGGCAAGCUUAACCGUAUAGGGUAGGCGUAGCGAAAGCGAGUCUUAAUAGGGCGUUUAGUCGCUGGGUAUAGACCCGAAACCGGGCGAUCUAUCCAUGAGCAGGUUGAAGGUUAGGUAACACUGACUGGAGGACCGAACCCACUCCCGUUGAAAAGGUAGGGGAUGACUUGUGGAUCGGAGUGAAAGGCUAAUCAAGCUCGGAGAUAGCUGGUUCUCCUCGAAAGCUAUUUAGGUAGCGCCUCAUGUAUCACUCUGGGGGGUAGAGCACUGUUUCGGCUAGGGGGUCAUCCCGACUUACCAAACCGAUGCAAACUCCGAAUACCCAGAAGUGCCGAGCAUGGGAGACACACGGCGGGUGCUAACGUCCGUCGUGAAAAGGGAAACAACCCAGACCGCCAGCUAAGGUCCCAAAGUUGUGGUUAAGUGGUAAACGAUGUGGGAAGGCUUAGACAGCUAGGAGGUUGGCUUAGAAGCAGCCAUCCUUUAAAGAAAGCGUAAUAGCUCACUAGUCGAGUCGGCCUGCGCGGAAGAUGUAACGGGGCUCAAACCACACACCGAAGCUGCGGGUGUCACGUAAGUGACGCGGUAGAGGAGCGUUCUGUAAGCCUGUGAAGGUGAGUUGAGAAGCUUGCUGGAGGUAUCAGAAGUGCGAAUGCUGACAUGAGUAACGACAAUGGGUGUGAAAAACACCCACGCCGAAAGACCAAGGGUUCCUGCGCAACGUUAAUCGACGCAGGGUUAGUCGGUUCCUAAGGCGAGGCUGAAAAGCGUAGUCGAUGGGAAACAGGUUAAUAUUCCUGUACUUCUGGUUACUGCGAUGGAGGGACGGAGAAGGCUAGGCCAGCUUGGCGUUGGUUGUCCAAGUUUAAGGUGGUAGGCUGAAAUCUUAGGUAAAUCCGGGGUUUCAAGGCCGAGAGCUGAUGACGAGUCGUCUUUUAGAUGACGAAGUGGUUGAUGCCAUGCUUCCAAGAAAAGCUUCUAAGCUUCAGGUAACCAGGAACCGUACCCCAAACCGACACAGGUGGUCGGGUAGAGAAUACCAAGGCGCUUGAGAGAACUCGGGUGAAGGAACUAGGCAAAAUGGCACCGUAACUUCGGGAGAAGGUGCGCCGGCUAGGGUGAAGGAUUUACUCCGUAAGCUCUGGCUGGUCGAAGAUACCAGGCCGCUGCGACUGUUUAUUAAAAACACAGCACUCUGCAAACACGAAAGUGGACGUAUAGGGUGUGACGCCUGCCCGGUGCCGGAAGGUUAAUUGAUGGGGUUAGCGCAAGCGAAGCUCUUGAUCGAAGCCCCGGUAAACGGCGGCCGUAACUAUAACGGUCCUAAGGUAGCGAAAUUCCUUGUCGGGUAAGUUCCGACCUGCACGAAUGGCGUAACGAUGGCGGCGCUGUCUCCACCCGAGACUCAGUGAAAUUGAAAUCGCUGUGAAGAUGCAGUGUAUCCGCGGCUAGACGGAAAGACCCCGUGAACCUUUACUGUAGCUUUGCACUGGACUUUGAGCCUGCUUGUGUAGGAUAGGUGGGAGGCUUUGAAGCGUGGACGCCAGUUCGCGUGGAGCCAUCCUUGAAAUACCACCCUGGCAUGCUUGAGGUUCUAACUCUGGUCCGUAAUCCGGAUCGAGGACAGUGUAUGGUGGGCAGUUUGACUGGGGCGGUCUCCUCCUAAAGAGUAACGGAGGAGUACGAAGGUGCGCUCAGACCGGUCGGAAAUCGGUCGCAGAGUAUAAAGGCAAAAGCGCGCUUGACUGCGAGACAGACACGUCGAGCAGGUACGAAAGUAGGUCUUAGUGAUCCGGUGGUUCUGUAUGGAAGGGCCAUCGCUCAACGGAUAAAAGGUACUCCGGGGAUAACAGGCUGAUACCGCCCAAGAGUUCAUAUCGACGGCGGUGUUUGGCACCUCGAUGUCGGCUCAUCACAUCCUGGGGCUGAAGCCGGUCCCAAGGGUAUGGCUGUUCGCCAUUUAAAGUGGUACGCGAGCUGGGUUUAGAACGUCGUGAGACAGUUCGGUCCCUAUCUGCCGUGGACGUUUGAGAUUUGAGAGGGGCUGCUCCUAGUACGAGAGGACCGGAGUGGACGAACCUCUGGUGUUCCGGUUGUCACGCCAGUGGCAUUGCCGGGUAGCUAUGUUCGGAAAAGAUAACCGCUGAAAGCAUCUAAGCGGGAAACUUGCCUCAAGAUGAGAUCUCACUGGGAACUUGAUUCCCCUGAAGGGCCGUCGAAGACUACGACGUUGAUAGGCUGGGUGUGUAAGCGUUGUGAGGCGUUGAGCUAACCAGUACUAAUUGCCCGUGAGGCUUGACCAUAUAACACCCAAACA